This 71-nucleotide transfer RNA is filed under the name Enchelynassa canina. Its description in RNAcentral is "tRNA-Cys". It matches the Rfam family "tRNA". From Rfam's summary of the family: Transfer RNA (tRNA) molecules are approximately 80 nucleotides in length. The record is from RNAcentral. Lineage: Eukaryota; Metazoa; Chordata; Actinopteri; Anguilliformes; Muraenidae.
AAGUUUUGUAGUGUAGCAGCAUGCCAGAUUGCAAACCUGGUGGCGCAGGAUAAUACUUGCCGAAACUUCCC